Molecule: transfer RNA, 73 nt
Filed under: Camelus ferus (Wild Bactrian camel)
Lineage: Eukaryota; Metazoa; Chordata; Mammalia; Artiodactyla; Camelidae
Rfam family: tRNA
About the family: Transfer RNA (tRNA) molecules are approximately 80 nucleotides in length. Their secondary structure includes four short double-helical elements and three loops (D, anti-codon, and T loops).
Source: Rfam by way of RNAcentral
GAGGGUGUAUCUCAGUGGUAGAGAGUUGUGCUUGGCAUGCAUGAGGUCCUGAGCUCAAUCCCCAGUACCUCCA